RNAcentral lists this small nuclear RNA (160 nucleotides) under Nicotiana sylvestris (wood tobacco). Its description in RNAcentral is "U1 spliceosomal RNA". It matches the Rfam family "U1 spliceosomal RNA". From Rfam's summary of the family: U1 is a small nuclear RNA (snRNA) component of the spliceosome (involved in pre-mRNA splicing). Its 5' end forms complementary base pairs with the 5' splice junction, thus defining the 5' donor site of an intron. The record is from Rfam by way of RNAcentral. Lineage: Eukaryota; Viridiplantae; Streptophyta; Magnoliopsida; Solanales; Solanaceae.
AUACUUACCUGGACGGGGUCAAUGGGUGAUCAAUAAGGCCCAUGGCCUAGGUUGGUGACCUCCAUCGCACUUUGGAGGUGUGCCCGCCUAAGGUCUGCCCAAGUGGUCGAGCCUACGUCAUAAUUUGUGGUAGCAGGGGUCUGCGUACGCGCGGCCCUAC